This 204-nucleotide long non-coding RNA is filed under the name Drosophila guanche. Lineage: Eukaryota; Metazoa; Arthropoda; Insecta; Diptera; Drosophilidae. The record is from RNAcentral.
AGAGAAUCGAGGUCUUUGAGAGUACAACUUCGCAUUGCACAAAAAUUAGGUCAGACUUAGACUUUUUUAAGGGGGCUGCUGAGAACAAGCACAGCUUAGACCAGGCGGGCAUAUUAGUUCUCCAUAGGGAAAAAAGGGCACUUCUGACAAGGGGAUGCUUCGAGACCUACUACACUGAUGGAUCAGUAGCUAACAGACACUCUA